RNAcentral lists this ribosomal RNA (417 nucleotides) under Triticum aestivum (bread wheat). Its description in RNAcentral is "partial small subunit ribosomal RNA". The record is from RNAcentral. Lineage: Eukaryota; Viridiplantae; Streptophyta; Magnoliopsida; Poales; Poaceae.
AUGCGACUAGGUUUCACCCUCGCCACCGUUCCUCUCCCCGCCCCUGCCCCUGAUCACUUCUGCCGCCGACCACGUCUAUUGAGCUCCUACCCAGCUGACCUACGUUGCUGGACCCGUCUAUCCCGUGUCGGCGCCUCCUGUCUCGACCUCGUUCCUGUCUCGCCGUCGUCCGGCUCACCACUGACUAGCUUCUAUAUAAGAGGCCUUGGGCGGGUUGCCCUGUCUGAACGUAUCCACAUUCAACAAGCUAGUCUACCAACUUCUAUAGUGUUUGUACUGCUAAUGAUGACUACAACAACAACAACAACAACAACAACAACAACAACAACAAAGCCUUUAGUCCAAACAAGCUGGGGUAGGCUAGAGGUGAAACCCAUAAGAUCUCGCAACCAACUCAUGGUUCUGGCACAUGGAUAG